This 301-nucleotide long non-coding RNA is filed under the name Hordeum vulgare. RNAcentral describes it as "long non-coding RNA (HVUL_LNC019620)". The record is from RNAcentral. Lineage: Eukaryota; Viridiplantae; Streptophyta; Magnoliopsida; Poales; Poaceae.
ACCAAUCCUUUCUCUUUCUCGUCUCUCCCUCUCCCCGCACCACUUCUCGCCGCCGCCACCACCACCUACGGUGCCCGAUCCCGCCCGAUUCCAGCGUCCUCCGGCGGUGCCGAGCACACCACCGUGUCCCCCUCUCAACGCUCCUUCCUCCCAUCGGGCAAGAUCCGACGCGCGCGUCCUCCAGCGACCAAGCGUGACCCUGCCCACCAGCUAGGGUUUGUGCCAGCACGUCGCCGACAUGGCUCCGGCCUUGCUCCAGUGACUCAGGUGAGUCCCUCCACUCCUCCUCGUCACAUACCCC